UUUAGUAAAUAGUACAUUAGAUAUACCUAUACCCUUUAGACUAGAACACCAAGAGUGGAUCCCGUAGAGUACUACGGAUGCGUAGGGGUUCUAAUACCUUCCCUUCGCAUAAUCGACUCCCGAACCCUAGAUUUGGUUGCGAGACCUUGUCUUUUCCUUUUUCUUCAGGUUUUCUUCGAUCCUUUCCUUUCCCUCCUUUGGGAUAAAUAACUAACGGUGGAGACUCUUCUGUUUUCUUUUUC
RNAcentral lists this long non-coding RNA (242 nucleotides) under Lathyrus oleraceus (garden pea). RNAcentral describes it as "Pisum sativum (pea) long non-coding RNA (PSAT_LNC020553)". Lineage: Eukaryota; Viridiplantae; Streptophyta; Magnoliopsida; Fabales; Fabaceae. The record is from RNAcentral.